Triticum dicoccoides is the source of this 221-nucleotide long non-coding RNA. RefSeq lists it as uncharacterized. NCBI's taxonomy places the organism in Eukaryota, Viridiplantae, Streptophyta, Magnoliopsida, Poales, Poaceae. The transcript has 3 exons. The record is from RefSeq and is a predicted model, not a curated record.
AUUGGCACAAGUGCAAGAAGGGGAACAAAUAUGACAUUGCUGCUUUGAUGGAGUUGAGAGAACCACCAAAGAAGAGGAGGAAGACUACCAAAUCAGCCGAGUCAUCCAUUGUGCCAAGAGGUGAUGAAGCACCGGCAACCGCUAUGUAUUUUCCACCAAGCCAAAGCUUAGAAAUUACAACCAAGAAGAAAGGAAAACAUAGCCAAACUUUGAAGACUACA